This 85-nucleotide transfer RNA is filed under the name Bifidobacterium pseudolongum subsp. globosum. RNAcentral describes it as "tRNA-Tyr". It matches the Rfam family "tRNA". Rfam says of the family: Transfer RNA (tRNA) molecules are approximately 80 nucleotides in length. Their secondary structure includes four short double-helical elements and three loops (D, anti-codon, and T loops). The record is from RNAcentral. Lineage: Bacteria; Bacillati; Actinomycetota; Actinomycetes; Bifidobacteriales; Bifidobacteriaceae.
GGAUGCGUGCCUGAGAGGCCGAAAGGACGCGGCUGUAAACCGCGCGACACAGUCCACGCAGGUUCGAAUCCUGCCGCAUCCACGA